GACGAACGCUGGCGGCGCGCUUAACACAUGCAAGUCGAACGGAAAGGCCUGCUUUCCCUUGUGGAUUGCGGGUACUCGAGUGGCGAACGGGUGAGUAACACGUGAGUGAUCUGCCCCCAACUUGGGUAUAAGCCUGGGAAACUGGGUCUAAUUCCCGAUAGGACUGCAGGGUGGUGCCUGUGGUGGAAAACGAUUUUCUAGUGGUUGGGGAUGAGCUCGCGGCCUAUCAGCUUGUUGGUGGGGUAAUGGCCUACCAAGGCGGCGACGGGUAGCCGGCCGGGGAGGGUGGACGGCGACAUUGGGACUGGGAUACGGCCCAGACUCCGACGGGAGGCAGCAGUGGGGAAUAUUGCACAAUGGGCGGAAGCCUGAUGCAGCGACGCCGCGUGGGGGAUGACGGCCUUCGGGUUGUAAACUCCUUUCGACCGAGAGGAAGCCACCUGGUUGGAAGGGUGGUGACGGUAGUGGUAGAAGAAGCACCGGCUAACUACGUG
Molecule: ribosomal RNA, 494 nt
Filed under: uncultured bacterium
Lineage: Bacteria
Description: partial 16S ribosomal RNA
Rfam family: Bacterial small subunit ribosomal RNA
Source: RNAcentral